This is a long non-coding RNA of Pipistrellus kuhlii (Kuhl's pipistrelle), 422 nucleotides long. RefSeq lists it as uncharacterized. The transcript is spliced from 3 exons. The record is from RefSeq and is a predicted model, not a curated record. Lineage: Eukaryota; Metazoa; Chordata; Mammalia; Chiroptera; Vespertilionidae.
GCCUUGGAGCUCUGAGAUGAAUGGGGAGAUUCCAUGUGCUAAUCUCAUUUCCAAAUGUAAUUGGCACCUGAAUUAUGAAGCCUGCGUCCAGUCCAAAGGCUGGGCUCACAGAGCCAUCUAUCCUCCCUCCAUGGAGGUGGGCCAGCGUGCCCCUGUGAUGCGUGUUCACUGCUCCAGCAACGAAGAAGCAGUGGUACAACUUUUUGGGGGGCAACGGGGCACCAAAAACAUCUGAACUGACAAGCUUUCCUUGUAGUGUGAUGGAUUAAGCAGAAGGCUUGAGUCUAUGCUACUCCCAGUGUGGCCAUGGCUCUCAUUGGAUCAGCCCAAACAGAAGUCAGAGGGCAGGAGUCCAGGUGAUACAGUUUGUAGAGGUCAACUUCCAGGGAACAAAGCAGAGCAGCAAGAAGCGGAAAAUGAGC